GACGAACGCUGGCGGUGUGCUUAACACAUGCAAGUCGAACGGUAAGGCCCUUUCGGGGGUACCCGAGUGGCGAACGGGUGAGUAACACGUGAGUAACCUGCCCUCAUCUCUGGGAUAACAGUCGGAAACGGUUGCUAAUACUGGAUAUGAGCUUGCAAGGCAUCUUGUGGGUUGGAAAGAUUUUUUUGGUUGGGGAUGGACUCGCGGCCUAUCAGCUUGUUGGUGAGGUAGUGGCUCACCAAGGCUUCGACAGGUAGCCGGCCUGAGAGGGCGACCGGCCACAUUGGGACUGAGAUACGGCCCAAACUCCUACGGGAGGCAGCAGUGGGGAAUAUUGCACAAUGGACGGAAGUCUGAUGCAGCAACGCCGCGUGCGGGAUGACGGCCUUCGGGUUGUAAACCGCUUUCAAUUGUGACGAAGCUUUUUGUGACGGUAGCAGUAGAAGAAGCACCGGCUAACUACGUG
RNAcentral lists this ribosomal RNA (466 nucleotides) under uncultured bacterium. Its description in RNAcentral is "partial 16S ribosomal RNA". It matches the Rfam family "Bacterial small subunit ribosomal RNA", at positions 28 to 507 of the family's 1533-position model. The record is from RNAcentral.